Molecule: ribosomal RNA, 253 nt
Filed under: uncultured bacterium
Lineage: Bacteria
Description: partial 16S ribosomal RNA
Rfam family: Bacterial small subunit ribosomal RNA
Source: RNAcentral
UACAGAGGUCUCAAGCGUUGUUCGGAUUCAUUGGGCGUAAAGGGUGCGUAGGCGGCGCGGUAAGUCGGGUGUGAAAUCUCGGAGCUUAACUCCGAAACUGCAUUCGAUACUGCCGUGCUUGAGGACUGGAGAGGAGACUGGAAUUUACGGUGUAGCGGUGAAAUGCGUAGAUAUCGUAAGGAAGACCAGUGGCGAAGGCGGGUCUCUGGACAGUUCCUGACGCUGAGGCGCGACAGCGUGGGGAGCAAACAGG